CAUAUUAGGUUUGUUAUGGUUGCUAUUUUUUUUUAGACGAACAAUAAUAAGCCCCGAAUGAAAUUGAGUAAAUUAUUUUCUC
This 82-nucleotide non-coding RNA is filed under the name Haemophilus influenzae. RNAcentral's name for it is "Aggregatibacter sRNA 69". It matches the Rfam family "Aggregatibacter sRNA 69". From Rfam's summary of the family: Validated by RT-PCR. Has Rho-independent terminator. Lineage: Bacteria; Pseudomonadati; Pseudomonadota; Gammaproteobacteria; Pasteurellales; Pasteurellaceae. RNAcentral also lists the same sequence under 1 other name. The record is from RNAcentral.